UACGCAGGCGGCUGAUUAAGUCUGACGUGAAAGCUCCUGGCUUAACUGGGAGAGGUCGUUGGAAACUAAUUGGCUUGAGGUGAUGAGGGGGUGCGGAAUUCCCGGUGUAGUGGUGGAAUGCGUAGAUAUCGGGAGGAACACCAGUGGCGAAAGCGGCACUCUGGCAUUUACCUGACGCUCAUGUACGAAAGCGUGGGGAGCGAACG
RNAcentral lists this ribosomal RNA (206 nucleotides) under uncultured bacterium. RNAcentral's name for it is "partial 16S ribosomal RNA". It matches the Rfam family "Bacterial small subunit ribosomal RNA", at positions 568 to 774 of the family's 1533-position model. The record is from RNAcentral.